GAUGAACGCUGGCGGCGUGCUUAACACAUGCAAGUCGAACGAGAAGUGGAGACGGAAACCUUCGGGCGGAAGACUUUAUUUCGAGUGGCGGACGGGUGAGUAACGCGUGGGUAAUCUGCCUCAUACAGGGGGAUAACAGUUGGAAACGACUGUUAAUACCGCAUAAGACCACAGCACCGCAUGGUGCGGGGGUAAAAACUCCGGUGGUAUGAGAUGGACCCGCGUUCGAUUAGCCAGUUGGCGGGGUAACGGCCCACCAAAGCGACGAUCGAUAGCCGAUCUGAGAGGGUGACCGGCCACAUUGGGACUGAGACACGGCCCAAACUCCUACGGGAGGCAGCAGUGGGGAAUAUUGCACAAUGGGGGAAACACUGAUGCAGCGACGCCGCGUGAGUGAAGAAGUAUUUCGGUAUGUAAAGCUCUAUCAGCAGGGAAGAAAAUGACGGUACCUGAGUAAGAAGCCCCGGCUAACUACGUG
Molecule: ribosomal RNA, 478 nt
Filed under: uncultured bacterium
Lineage: Bacteria
Description: partial 16S ribosomal RNA
Rfam family: Bacterial small subunit ribosomal RNA
Source: RNAcentral